Molecule: ribosomal RNA, 274 nt
Filed under: Hapalosiphonaceae cyanobacterium JJU2
Lineage: Bacteria; Bacillati; Cyanobacteriota; Cyanophyceae; Nostocales; Hapalosiphonaceae
Description: partial 16S ribosomal RNA
Rfam family: Bacterial small subunit ribosomal RNA
Source: RNAcentral
AAAACGGAGAGUUUGAUCCUGGCUCAGGAUGAACGCUGGCGGUAUGCUUAACACAUGCAAGUCGAACGGAACCCUUCGGGGUUUAGUGGCGGACGGGUGAGUAACGCGUGAGAAUCUGGCUUUGGGUUCGGGACAACCACUGGAAACGGUGGCUAAUACCGGAUAUGCCUGAGGGUGAAAGGUUAACUGCCUGAAGAUGAGCUCGCGUCUGAUUAGCUAGUUGGUGGUGUAAGGGACUACCAAGGCGACGAUCCGUAGCUGGUCUGAGAGGAUG